RNAcentral lists this small RNA (95 nucleotides) under Arabidopsis thaliana (thale cress). RNAcentral's name for it is "ATSL300420". The record is from RNAcentral. Lineage: Eukaryota; Viridiplantae; Streptophyta; Magnoliopsida; Brassicales; Brassicaceae.
AGUUACAGUUUGACCCACAGCUACAGUUGUCGCACUCCUUGUUGUAGUUCUUCUCGCAACUAUACCACACACAAAUUAAUCAAACAAACAAAAAA